This 252-nucleotide ribosomal RNA is filed under the name uncultured bacterium. RNAcentral describes it as "partial 16S ribosomal RNA". It matches the Rfam family "Bacterial small subunit ribosomal RNA", at positions 524 to 776 of the family's 1533-position model. The record is from RNAcentral.
UACAGAGGUCCCAAGCGUUGUUCGGAUUUACUGGGCGUAAAGGGUGCGUAGGUGGCGGGGUAAGUCUGGUGUGAAAGCUUCGAGCUCAACUCGGAAAAGCAUUGGAAACUAUCCCGCUGGAGGGUCGGAGGGGAGACUGGAAUUUACGGUGUAGCGGUGAAAUGCGUAGAUAUCGUAAGGAAGACCAGUGGCGAAGGCGGGUCUCUGGACAGUUCCUGACGCUGAGGCGCGAAAGCUAGGGGAGCAAACAGG